Molecule: ribosomal RNA, 117 nt
Filed under: Paenibacillus sp. NFR01
Lineage: Bacteria; Bacillati; Bacillota; Bacilli; Caryophanales; Paenibacillaceae
Source: RNAcentral
UUUGGUAACAAUGGCGGAGGGGUUCCACGCGUACCCAUCCCGAACACGACCGUUAAGCCCUCCAGCGCCGAUGGUACUUGGACCGCAGGGUCCUGGGAGAGUAGGACGUUGCCAAGC